Molecule: ribosomal RNA, 1240 nt
Filed under: metagenome
Description: bacterial LSU rRNA
Rfam family: Bacterial large subunit ribosomal RNA
Source: RNAcentral
UGAUGACGAGACGCUAAGGCGUUGAAGCAGUGUAUGUCAGACUUCCAAGAAAAGCUCGCAAUGUCACAAAUAAAAAUGCCUGUACCAUAACCGACACAGGUGGGUAGGUAGAGUAUACUAAGGGGCGCGAGACAACUCUCUCUAAGGAACUCGGCAAAAUGACUCCGUAACUUCGGGAGAAGGAGUGCCUUAUUUAUAAGGUUGCAAUAACAAGAUCCAAGCAACUGUUUAUCAAAAACACAGGUCUCCGCUAAGUCGUAAGACGAUGUAUGGGGGCUGACGCCUGCCCAGUGCCAGAAGGUUAAAGAAGUUGGUUAGUGUAUGCGAAGCUGAUGACUGAAGCCCUGGUGAACGGCGGCCGUAACUAUAACGGUCCUAAGGUAGCGAAAUUCCUUGUCGGGUAAGUUCCGACCCGCACGAAAGGCGUAAUGAUUUGGAUACUGUCUCGGAGAGAGGCUCGGUGAAAUAGACUUGUCUGUGAAGAUGCGGACUACCUGCACCAGGACAGAAAGACCCUAUGAAGCUUUACUGUAACUUGAAAUUGGAAUUGGACUUUGCUUGCGCAGUAUAGGUGGGAAGCGUUGAAAAUAUUCUUGCGGGAGUAUUGGAGCUAUCAGUGAGAUACCACUCUUGUAAUGUUAGAUUUCUAACUUUGAACCAUAAUCUGGUCAAAGAACAGUUUCAGGUGGGCAGUUUGACUGGGGCGGUCGCCUCCCAAAUGGUAACGGAGGCGUACAAAGGUUUCCUCUGAACGGAUAGAAAUCGUAUCUAGAGUGUAAAGGCAUAAGGAAGCUUGACUGUGAGACCUACAAGUCGAGCAGGGACGAAAGUCGGUCUUAGUGAUCUGACGGUACUGAGUGGAAAGGCCGUCACUCAACGGAUAAAAGUUACUCUAGGAUAACAGGCUGAUCUCCCCCAAGAGUUCACAUCGACGGGGAGGUUUGGCACCUCGAUGUCGGCUCAUCGCAUCCUGGGGCGGUAGUACGUCCCAAGGGUUGGGCUGUUCGCCCAUGAAAGCGGUACGCGAGCUGGGUUCAGAACGUCGUGAGACAGUUCGGUCCAUAUCCGGUGUAGGCGCUAGAAUAUUGAGAGGAGCCUUCUUUAGUACGAGAGGACCGAGAAGGACACACCGCUGGUGUACCAGUUAUCGUGCCAACGGUAAACGCUGGGUAGCUAUGUGUGGAGUGGAUAACCGCUGAAAGCAUCUAAGUGGGAAGCCCACCUCGAGAUGAGUAUUCUC